This 77-nucleotide transfer RNA is filed under the name Candidatus Fokinia solitaria. Its description in RNAcentral is "tRNA-His". It matches the Rfam family "tRNA". From Rfam's summary of the family: Transfer RNA (tRNA) molecules are approximately 80 nucleotides in length. Their secondary structure includes four short double-helical elements and three loops (D, anti-codon, and T loops). Lineage: Bacteria; Pseudomonadati; Pseudomonadota; Alphaproteobacteria; Rickettsiales; Candidatus Midichloriaceae. RNAcentral also lists the same sequence under 1 other name. The record is from RNAcentral.
GCGGAUAUAGCUCAGUUGGUUAGAGCGUCGGUUUGUGGUACCGAAGGUCGCGGAUUCGAGUUCCGUUAUUCGCCCCA